Long non-coding RNA from Homo sapiens (human), 1911 nucleotides. NCBI's taxonomy places the organism in Eukaryota, Metazoa, Chordata, Mammalia, Primates, Hominidae. The record is from Ensembl.
ACAGGAAGUAGGACAGAGCAAUGGAGGGAAGCCAGAUUUAAUGUCAGAAGUCUGGACCAUCAAUUUUAUCCCUUCCCAUUGCCUCCUUUUAAAUUUUAGUCAAUUCAAUAAAUAUUUUCAACUCCUCGUCUGUACCAGGCACCAAGCCACAGAAUGGAGUUCUGGCAAUGAACACUGCAGACAUGGCCGCCUUUAGCCUCAUGGAGCUUAGGGUCUGGGAGCAUUGUCAGUUUCUGAAUCCUCCAAGUGCUAAACUAUCUUCUCUCUUCAAAUUAGAGAAAAGAAAUGAGACAGCAGGCCUGCUUCUUUGAGUGUUUUUUUCUUUUUUGUUUCCGUUUUCUGACAACCAUACUUCACGUCUGACAGAGGAAAUGAUUCUUUUUGUCAGUGAUAAAUUUAUGAGUUUUGACUGUUUGUGAAGUUCCCUAAUUAAUUCUUUAUAGACUUCUAUUGGCAACUGAAUUUGUGUUUUGAGUUAAAAAUGGGAGUUCAGAUGAAUUACAGUUGAACAUUCUGCUCCCUUUGAAGAGCUCAUACUCCACAUUCUACGCUGUUAAUCUCUCUGCUUACUGAGAGGCACCGUUUGUCUUGCAGUGACGCACGGUGGGUGGUUACCAUGGCAUAGGAAAACAUUGCCAGCGCUGGCCCUGUCGUCAUGGAACCCCUGGGCCAUCUCCUGAGAAACUUGACUCUCCAAGAUAUGCAGAGCUUUGGGCCAGGAUCCUACAGCCACGGGUCAUGCAGAGCCAGUUGGCCACAUCCUUUGGGCCAAAUUUGGUCCUAACCAGGUCUUACCACGGUAACUGCUAACCAGUCCAUCUUCAGUUAAUAUUUCAUGCGUAAGAUGUUUCAUGAAGUAACUGAAUGGGCUAAUGGGUUGUUCACUGGAUAAGACUCCCAGAUACUCCCUUUCAUGCCAUUCCCCAGAAUUCCUUCACCUCCCAGUGCUGUCUGUAAGGGUGAAGAUACUCCAUUUUGCCCCAUGCUCUUUGCUGUGCCCCAGAUAGGCUCAAACAUUUUUCCCUUUUGGGGAUUUUGCAGGUAGGAAUUGUUGAACAUCUUACCAUUUAAUCCAGAAGUUAUGUCCUUUAAGGAAUCGACCCUGAGCCUGUGAGUUUUACUUUGGGUUGGGGGUGAAGGAGUGGACCUUGCAGCAUUCAAGGUCAUCCAAGAUCAUCCAGUUAAGGCCCCUAAGGUCACUACGGGGGGAAAAGCCUGGUGAGGGAAGAGAAAGCAUUAGGGGGAGCUGCACCGUGCUGAGAAAUAACACCACACAGAAGUCUGUGUUCUAAUCUCAGCUCUGCUUUGCAUUACUGUGUGACCUGGAGCUGAUCACAGCCCUCUGAGUCUUAAAGGGGUUGGACAAGGCCAACUAAACAUUAGAAACACCUGAAAGUGCUGGUUAAAAGGAAGAAUGCAUGAGCUUCACUCCAGAUUUACUAUAUCAGAAUUUCCAGGGUCAGGGUCCAAGAAUCUGCAUGUUUAAUACGCUUUCCACAUGAUUUUUCCCCCCUCUGGACUUAAGAAAACAAUGGGCAAGUCAGCUCAUGAAGAACUUUUCAGAUAUUCAGACUAUUAUUCUGAGAGAGAAAAUAUUGGCAGAGAACAGAUGGGAUUUUUCUCAAGGAAAAGAAAUGGAAAUCCUACAUCUUGCAAGAAAUAGAAAAAAAUAAAUAAACUGUUUGAAGAAGAAUCACAUCAGGCUGGCAGGAGAGAGCCUGCGGCUCGGUGUCUGACCCAGAAUGUUAAAGCCAGCCUGGCUUGGCUCCAGGAUAAAGGACACUCUGUCAGCCUCUCCACAUUGAUUCAUCUCCCCAGCCCCAAGAUCAGGAGAGCAUUCUGUUCCUUGAAGCAUUUUAUGACUGUAAGUCAGAAGUGCUGCAGUUUUAAUAAAAAGCUGUAUUGUCCUGA